GACGAACGCUGGCGGCGUGCUUAACACAUGCAAGUCGAACGGUAAGGCCCCAGCUUGCUGGGGUACACGAGUGGCGAACGGGUGAGUAACACGUGGGUGACCUGCCCCGCACUUCGGGAUAAGCCUGGGAAACUGGGUCUAAUACCGGAUAGGACCGCACCGUGAGGGUGUGGUGGAAAGUUUUUCGGUGUGGGAUGGGCCCGCGGCCUAUCAGCUUGUUGGUGGGGUAAUGGCCUACCAAGGCGGCGACGGGUAGCCGGCCUGAGAGGGUGGACGGCCACAUUGGGACUGAGACACGGCCCAGACUCCUACGGGAGGCAGCAGUGGGGAAUAGUGCACAAUGGGCGGAAGCCUGAUGCAGCGACGCCGCGUGGGGGAUGACGGCCUUCGGGUUGUAAACUCCUUUCACCAUCGACGAAGGUUUUCUGACGGUAGAUGGAGAAGAAGCACCGGCUAACUACGUG
This 464-nucleotide ribosomal RNA is filed under the name uncultured bacterium. RNAcentral describes it as "partial 16S ribosomal RNA". It matches the Rfam family "Bacterial small subunit ribosomal RNA", at positions 28 to 507 of the family's 1533-position model. The record is from RNAcentral.